This 162-nucleotide non-coding RNA is filed under the name unclassified sequences. RNAcentral describes it as "DUF2800 RNA". It matches the Rfam family "DUF2800 RNA". Rfam says of the family: Actinobacteria, Firmicutes, Synergistetes (1 example). The record is from RNAcentral.
CCGCCAGAUAACGCAUCGGUCGAUCACCGGUGGCUCAACGGUACCUGACGGUUACAAGUAAAUAUCAUCAGCUGCCUAUUGAGCGGGUUAGCUGCAGACCGGAACGGAGGAUUCUCCGUCGGGACUGUAGUUGGAUUUCUAUACCCAUUUUGCAGCUGACCA